GUUAAAGCUCCCGUAAAUGUGAUAUUUUUACGGUCAGAAAAUUCCGAAGUUCACUACUGGCCCUUCUGCCAGUCGCGGUCGCGGACAAGUAACCCUUCGAUACCGGCAGUCAACCCCGUAUCUCGAACAAAGUUGAUUUUGAUCAAUGGAACUUGCAAUAAAAUCGAAUGCUGAUAACGUAAAAGUGCUCAAAUUGCACUUGUUUUCGUAUGACCGAGUAGUUAUGUAU
Molecule: long non-coding RNA, 229 nt
Organism: Sabethes cyaneus
Lineage: Eukaryota; Metazoa; Arthropoda; Insecta; Diptera; Culicidae
Exons: 3
Source: RefSeq, a predicted model, not a curated record